This 77-nucleotide transfer RNA is filed under the name Clostridiales bacterium. RNAcentral's name for it is "tRNA-Arg". It matches the Rfam family "tRNA". From Rfam's summary of the family: Transfer RNA (tRNA) molecules are approximately 80 nucleotides in length. Their secondary structure includes four short double-helical elements and three loops (D, anti-codon, and T loops). The record is from RNAcentral. Lineage: Bacteria; Bacillati; Bacillota; Clostridia; Eubacteriales.
GUACCCGUGGCUCAGCUGGAUAGAGCGUUUGGCUACGGACCAGAAGGUCGGGGGUUCGAAUCCCUCCGGGUACGCCA